This 889-nucleotide ribosomal RNA is filed under the name uncultured bacterium. RNAcentral's name for it is "bacterial SSU rRNA". It matches the Rfam family "Bacterial small subunit ribosomal RNA", at positions 96 to 985 of the family's 1533-position model. The record is from RNAcentral.
CGGCAGACGGGUGAGUAACGCGUAUGUAACCUACCCUGUACAGGGGGAUAACCCGGAGAAAUUCGGACUAAUAUCCCAUAAUGAUAUUUGGGGGCAUCCCCGGAUAUUUAAAGUUCCGGCGGUACAGGAUGGGCAUGCGUAACAUUAGCUAGUUGGUAAGGUAACGGCUUACCAAGGCUUUGAUGUUUAGGGGUCCUGAGAGGGUGGUCCCCCACACUGGUACUGAGACACGGACCAGACUCCUACGGGAGGCAGCAGUGAGGAAUAUUGGUCAAUGGGCGCAAGCCUGAACCAGCCAUCCCGCGUGCAGGAAGACGGCCCUAUGGGUUGUAAACUGCUUUUCCAGGGAGAGAAACUUGCGCACGUGUUGCGCAAUUGACGGUACCCUGGGAAUAAGCAUCGGCUAACUCCGUGCCAGCAGCCGCGGUAAUACGGAGGAUGCGAGCGUUAUCCGGAUUCAUUGGGUUUAAAGGGUGCGUAGGCGGACUAUUAAGUCAGUGGUGAAAUCCUGCAGCUUAACUGCAGAACUGCCAUUGAUACUGAUAGCCUUGAGUUCGGUUAAGGUAGGCGGAAUGUGUAAUGUAGCGGUGAAAUGCUUAGAUAUUACACAGAACACCAAUUGCGUAGGCAGCUUACUGAGCCGACACUGACGCUGAGGCACGAAAGCGUGGGGAUCGAACAGGAUUAGAUACCCUGGUAGUCCACGCCGUAAACGAUGAUUACUCGCUGUUGGCGAUACACUGUCAGCGGCUAAGCAAAAGCAAUAAGUAAUCCACCUGGGGAGUACGGCCGCAAGGUUGAAACUCAAAGGAAUUGACGGGGGCCCGCACAAGCGGAGGAACAUGUGGUUUAAUUCGAUGAUACGCGAGGAACCUUACCUGGGCUUAAA